CUUAUGAAGAAGUUAAAAACAACUAAUCAUAAAGUAUAUACAAACAUAAACAAUGCUUUCACAUGGAAUUAAUACAAAAUGUGCGCCACUCUGAUACAUAUAAAUAAAAUCCCCUAAAAUAAGCUUGCGGGCAGCAUGUAUGUAGCUUCUCUGUCACUAUAUACAACUGUCAUUCUUACCUAUCGUUUAAAGUUGAAAAUGCAGCUUUCAUUAUCCUGUGUAUUGAAAAGUCAACAAUGCUUCAAAGUAUUUGGCGUUUGUAUUAAUAGCAUGCUGAGACAAGAUCACAUAUAUAUGUAAAAGAUAUGGGACUGGUUAAAGAGGGUAAUGUGAACUGCAAGAUAAAACGGCAGAAUGAAGCCCGUCUGACUCAAUUUAAAAACCAAAGCUAUGUUAUGAUUUAAUAUUAUAAUCUGUGUUUUGUUUUCAGUCAAUCAGAACACAGAAUUCAAA
Molecule: non-coding RNA, 453 nt
Organism: Pelobates cultripes (western spadefoot toad)
Lineage: Eukaryota; Metazoa; Chordata; Amphibia; Anura; Pelobatidae
Source: the annotation of a GenBank genome assembly